RNAcentral lists this long non-coding RNA (373 nucleotides) under Anser brachyrhynchus (Pink-footed goose). RNAcentral's name for it is "lncRNA (ENSABRG00000019598.1)". The record is from RNAcentral. Lineage: Eukaryota; Metazoa; Chordata; Aves; Anseriformes; Anatidae.
CCUUAAAGCAGCUAAUUACUUCGCUCCCACCAAUUUUGAUGGGAGUUAAAAGCCUGCAUCUCCAUGAGAACUAGAGAUUAACCACCCAAGAUUUGUUUCAAUCAAACCUCUGUCAGAUAACAUCACUGGAUGCAUUCAUUUUGUCUGUGGGCGUUUCGUGCCUCACUGUCAACUCCUCCUGCAAAGGAAUCAGGAACACUGCUUUAAGGAGGAAAUGGAGAUGUACAGUCAGUGUGCACAGAAGACAUGGCAAGUAGGCUCCAAAGACAGAGUAGACUUAAAAGUGAGAGCUGUGAUUUUGAAAUUCAUGAACAUUUGGAAAGCUGAGAACAAAAGAACAAAGUAACAAUUAAUAAGCUUGCUGAUUUCCAAA